AAGUCGUAACAAGGUUUCCGUAGGUGAACCUGCGGAAGGAUCAUUAUUGUAUAGCCGAGGUGCGAGGGCUGUCGCUGACCCGAAAGGUCGUGCACGCCCGAGUGCCCUCACACACAUCCAUCUCACCCCUAUGUGCACCACCGCGUGGGUCCCCCUUUGGCUUGUUCGGAGGGGGGCUUACGUUUUCACACAAACUUUGUAUGCAGUGUAGAAUGUAUUUUUUGUUUUUGCGAUCACGCAAUCAAUACAACUUUCAACAACGGAUCUCUUGGCUCUCGCAUCGAUGAAGAACGCAGCGAAAUGCGAUACGUAAUGUGAAUUGCAGAAUUCAGUGAAUCAUCGAAUCUUUGAACGCACCUUGCGCCCCUUGGCAUUCCGAGGGGCACACCCGUUUGAGUGUCGUGAAAUUCUCAAAAACCUUUUUCUUUUUGGGAAAGGGUUUUUGGACUUGGAGGCUUUUUGCUGGCUUCACCUUGAAGUGAGCUCCUCCUAAAUGAAUCAGUGGGGUCCGCUUUGCCGAUCCUUGACGUGAUAAGAUGUUUCUGCGUCUUUGGGUUUGGCACUGUCACCUGCUUCUAACUGUCUCAUUGACAAUGAUGGUGCUCCGGUCACCACCGCUCUUAUCGGUGGGAGGCUUGACCCACAAAAACAAAACCUUGACCUCAAAUCGGGUGAGACUACCCGCUGAACUUAAGCAUAUCAAUAAGCGGAGGAAAAGAAACUAACAAGGAUUCCCCUAGUAACUGCGAGUGAAGCGGGAAAAGCUCAAAUUUAAAAUCUGGUGGCCUUUGGCCAUCCGAGUUGUAAUUUA
This 811-nucleotide unclassified non-coding RNA is filed under the name uncultured Russula. RNAcentral describes it as "sequence contains ITS1, 5.8S rRNA gene and ITS2". The stretch from base 249 to 402 matches the Rfam family "5.8S ribosomal RNA". The record is from RNAcentral. Lineage: Eukaryota; Fungi; Basidiomycota; Agaricomycetes; Russulales; Russulaceae.